UUUUCUUUCUUUUUCCCUUUUUCUUUUCUCUCGUAUAUUUCCCCCGCAGAUGAGACCCCCUGCAACUCUGGAACCGGCGAACGGCGGCGCCGCGGCGCCGCCUCGCGGCCGCGCAGGACGGACCGCGACUGCCGCGGCCAGAAACUGAAGAGUAAAUUCACCAUCCUUUUGCCCAUGAGCAGCACUGCAGCAGCAAAGGACUAGUCUAUCGCGGAGAGAUGAGACCGUUUUACAGUAUGUGAUCGGCGAGGCAACAGCGUCGAGAGGGAACUGCGUAGUUGAACGCCGCCCGGCAGUGUCGCGGUCAACACGUGUAGGCGGAUGAUUUUGGAGAAGAGCAUACAAGUGGAGGGCGAGCGUGUGAGCAUGACUUCGGAGAAGGCGCGUGUGGAGGGCAAGGCGACACGCUGAGCAGAUGAGCGGAGACACGCUGCUUUUGAACGUUUUCUACGGAUUUCUCUGCGUUUUUAGACUAUGGUGAUGCCGAUGGAGCAGGCGUGUUUCUGGUUUCAAGUUGGACCAGUUGCUUCUUUGUUUCGUGGCUCUACAUCAUCAGUCGCGGUCGGUACAAUGAACGUCCUGCGCAAAUGGGCCAGCACCACACCAAUUUUUUUUUACUUUGCAGACAGCUAAUCCAGCGCUGCUGAUGUGGUCAGUAAGAAGCGAGUUGUGAUUGGUCUGGCCAGUUGUGUAAGGUCAACUUGACAGGCUCCACGCGCCUGGCUGGCUGCUGGCUCCUGUCUGGACUGUCUUGUGAGAAAACAAACGGGGGCUGCUUUGAGUUUU
Molecule: long non-coding RNA, 786 nt
Organism: Triticum urartu
Lineage: Eukaryota; Viridiplantae; Streptophyta; Magnoliopsida; Poales; Poaceae
Source: RefSeq, a predicted model, not a curated record